GACGAACGCUGGCGGCGUGCUUAACACAUGCAAGUCGAACGGAAAGGCCCUGCUUUUGUGGGGUGCUCGAGUGGCGAACGGGUGAGUAACACGUGAGUAACCUGCCCUUGACUUUGGGAUAACUUCAGGAAACUGGGGCUAAUACCGGAUAGGAGCUCCUGCUGCAUGGUGGGGGUUGGAAAGUUUCGGCGGUUGGGGAUGGACUCGCGGCUUAUCAGCUUGUUGGUGGGGUAGUGGCUUACCAAGGCUUUGACGGGUAGCCGGCCUGAGAGGGUGACCGGCCACAUUGGGACUGAGAUACGGCCCAGACUCCUAUGGGAGGCAGCAGUGGGGAAUAUUGCACUAUGGGCGGAAGCCUGAUGCAGCAACGCCGCGUGCGGGAUGACGGCCUUCGGGUUGUAAACCGCUUUCGCCUGUGACGAAGCGUGAGUGACGGUAAUGGGUAAAGAAGCACCGGCUAACUACGUGCCAGCAGCCGCGGUGAUACGUAGGGUGCGAGCGUUGUCCGGAUUUAUUGGGCGUAAAGGGCUCGUAGGUGGUUGAUCGCGUCGGAAGUGUAAUCUUGGGGCUUAACCCUGAGCGUGCUUUCGAUACGGGUUGACUUGAGGAAGGUAGGGGAGAAUGGAAUUCCUGGUGGAGCGGUGGAAUGCGCAGAUAUCAGGAGGAACACCAGUGGCGAAGGCGGUUCUCUGGGCCUUUCCUGACGCUGAGGAGCGAAAGCGUGGGGAGCGAACAGGCUUAGAUACCCUGGUAGUCCACGCUGUAAACGGUGGGUACUAGGUGUGGGGUCCAUUCCACGGGUUCCGUGCCGUAGCUAACGCUUUAAGUACCCCGCCUGGGGAGUACGGCCGCAAGGCUAAAACUCAAAGGAAUUGACGGGGCCCCGCACAAGCGGCGGAGCAUGCGGAUUAAUUCGAUGCAACGCGUAGAACCUUACCUGGGUUUGACAUGGAUCGGGAGUGCUCAGAGAUGGGUGUGCCUCUUUUGGGGUCGGUUCACAGGUGGUGCAUGGCUGUCGUCAGCUCGUGUCGUGAGAUGUUGGGUUAAGUCCCGCAACGAGCGCAACCCUUGUUCACUGUUGCCAGCACGUUAUGGUGGGGACUCAGUGGAGACCGCCGGGGUCAACUCGGAGGAAGGUGGGGAUGACGUCAAGUCAUCAUGCCCCUUAUGUCCAGGGCUUCACGCAUGCUACAAUGGCUGGUACAGAGAGUGGCGAGCCUGUGAGGGUGAGCGAAUCUCGGAAAGCCGGUCUCAGUUCGGAUUGGGGUCUGCAACUCGACCUCAUGAAGUCGGAGUCGCUAGUAAUCGCAGAUCAGCAACGCUGCGGUGAAUACGUUCCCGGG
RNAcentral lists this ribosomal RNA (1343 nucleotides) under uncultured bacterium. Its description in RNAcentral is "16S ribosomal RNA". It matches the Rfam family "Bacterial small subunit ribosomal RNA", at positions 28 to 1378 of the family's 1533-position model. The record is from RNAcentral.